UACUGCAUUUUUCCAGAACUUUCAACGGCAUCUCAGCAGAUAGCAUUAGUUGGAAUACAUUCUUAAUAUCUUAAUAUUUGUAAAACUACACAAUUUUAAGAUUUUUGGUUAAUAUAUGUGAAUAAGGACUAUUUAGUUGUUGCAGUUUGUUAUUUGCCUAAUAAAUAACAAUACAAUUUUUAGUUUGAAAAAAGAUUUAUAAAACAUUUGUUUUCUCGUUUUUAUAGAUAGAUAGAUAGAUAGAUAGAUAGAUAAUAAAGUCGUUCAGCACUGUAGACGGCUUCUUUCACCCAUCUCUCAACUCAUUUGUCCUCUAUGUUCAAAAUGUGAAAAUGAACAUUCUUUGUCAUUGAGAUGCAGGUAAAACCAGGACAAAUCCUGACGGGCCGCCAGAAUAUCCAUGAAGCUUUACAGUCCCAGUGUGUCUCAUAAUCUUCUCUUUAUUUUUAAUGAGUCUAGAUGCGAAUUUCUCUGUCAGUACACCCCUGAAUACAACUGUGAUUUAUCAGGUCUUAGAACAUAGAUGUCAAUAAAAUAACUCUAUUUGCUCACAAACCUCUAUUUGCUCAAAAAUCUAAUAUUUUCACUUUGACUGUAGCUAUUCGUCCCAAAAGGGAGAUGGGGAGGUUGUUCCAACGCCUCAGAUCAUCACAGACUUUGUCCAAAAGUGGAGUGAAUUUCAGGUGAACUAGUUCUGAGAGUUUGGAGGAAAUAUUUAUGCCCAGAUAUCUGAUGUUGCCAGUGGAAAAAGAGUAAUGCUAGUUUUGGACUGCGGGAUUCCACGAGUUUUCUGUUAAAGGUAAUAUAAUUGAUUUUGACCAGUUGACGGAGUAGUCUGAAAGACGCGAGAAGGUUGUGAUGAGGUUAAAUACUUCCUUUACUAAAGUUUUGGGUUCUUGUAGAUAAAGUAAAAUGUCUUCUGCGUAUAGGUUAAUUUUAUGUUCAGACUCCAGAGCGCAGAUACCUUUGAUAUUGGUGUUCUGACGUACCGCUGUUGCUAAUGGUUCGAUAAAGAUCGCAAACAAUAAGGGAGAGAGUGGGCAUCCCUGUCUUGUUCCCCUUUGCAGACUGAAGCUUUGUGAAAUGAUCCCAUUAGUGGUGACUUUAGCCUUGGGUGAGUUGUACAGAGCUGAUACCCACUGGAUAAACGAUUCUCCGAAGCCAAAUUUGUGGAGCACAGCAAAGAGAAAGGACCAAUUAACUUUGUCGAAGGCUUUUUCUGCGUCCAGUGACAUAACAAUAGCUUCUUUGUUGUGGCGUUGUGUCAAAGAGAUUAGAUUUAGAAGUCUUCUGAUAUUGUUGGUGGAGUGUCGGCCAUUUAUAAAUCCUGUUUGAUCGCAGUGAAUUAUUGACGGGGUGAUUUUCUCCAGCCUGGAGGCGAGAGCUUUUGAGAUAAUUUUGAUGUCGGUAUUUAUUGGUGACAGAGGUCGAUAGCUGGAGGGAAGCGUAGGAUCUUUGUCUGGUUUCAGUAAUAAUUUAAUUGCAGCUGUAUUCAUGUGCGGACUGAUAUAACCAUUAUUUUUAAUCUCUGUCACUGUCCUGAAGAAAAGGGGUGCUAACAUUGACCAAAAAUGUUUAAGAAAUUCAGCAGGGAAACCAUCAGGACCAGGUGCCUUACCUGCUGGCAUACUGUCUAAUGCACAUUGUAAUUCUUUGAUAGUCAAUGGAGCUUCUAAUAUGUCUCUGUAAUCUGACGUUAGUUCGGGCAUGUUUAGAUUGUUAGAAAAUGUGAUGUUUAGAAAAUUAUGAAUGUCUUCUUUGUUUGGGUUAACUGUUGCUGAGUAUAAACUCUGGUAAUAAUUAUAGAAGGUCUGGUUAAUUUCCUGAGGUGACUGAGUAUAUUUUCCUGAGGGAUCCUGAAUUGCUGUUAUGAAGGAUUUUUCUUUAUUGCGCUGGAGUUGGUUCGCCAGAAAUUUUCCUGAUUUAUUAUUGUGUUCAAAAUCAUUAUAUCUUAGUUGUUGUAAUAAAAACUAUGUUUUCUUGGAUAGGAUAUUAUCGAGGUGUAGUUUUGCAUUUUGUAGUUUGGAGCAUAAUUGAUCACUUGGAUUUACUGCAUAAUUCUCUGUAAGUUGUUUAAUUUUUUCUUCAAUUUCUUUCUCUGUUUGUAGAUCCUUUUUUUUUCUUGUACGAGGUGUAUGAUAUUAUUUUACCUCUGAUUACGGCCUUUCCAGUUUCCCAAAGCAAAGAUGGAGAUAAGUCAUUAGAGUCAUUGUUUUUUAGAAAGUCUGCCCACUCACUCCUUAUUACUCGAUCAAAUUCUGGGUCUUUGAGUAGAGAGAUGUUGAGGCGCCAAGUCUGAGGAGGUUUAGGGAUGGAAUCUGUUUGCAGGCAGAGAGAUAUUGGUGCGUGGUCGCUGAUAAUUAUUGGGUGGAUUUUAGUGGUAACUUUAUGUGCGAUAGAGUUAUUUGAGUGGAAAAAGUCAAUUCUUGAAAAUGUUUUGUGUACCGCAGAGAAAAACAUAUAGUCCCUCUUUGUUGGGUUUUUGAGUCUCCAGACAUCGUCUAGUCCAAAAUCUUUCAUAUAAUCAUGUAUGACUUUAACUGAUUGUGACUGUUUUGCAUGUAUUGGACUAUUAGAUCGAUCUACUGAAGGGUUUAAAACUAUGUUGAAGUCACCACCGAUAAUAGUUGUUGAGUUAUCAGAUAAGUCUGCUAAGUGAGAGAAAACAGUGUGAAAGAAGGCUGGAUCUUCAUUAUUCGGAGCACAGAGGUUUGCAAUACAAUAUAAUUUAUUAAAGAUUGUUGCCUGGAUAAUAAUAUAUCUGCCCUCUGAGUCCGUUACUGUACUGUUUAAAGUGAAUGGUACUCUCUUAUGGACUAGAAUGGAGACCCCUCUUUGUCUGCUGUUAUAACAAGAUGAAAAGAUAAUACUAUAAUUCGAGUCUGAUAAACAUUUUUCUUCCGACUGUAGUAAAUGCAUUUCUUGGAGGAGCAAAAUAUCUGCUUUUAAUUUAGAGACAUAAUCCAUGAUUUUAACUCUUUUUGUUUGUGAGCGUAUGCCAUGAACAUUCCAGGCUACGAUAUUAAACUUGAACAUAGAGAGAGAAGAUGUUCUGUCACUGAGUAUGUAGCAAUAUAAUAUAACAUCUGUGUGUAUCCUUGUGAGCUGUCUGUUGCUGUCUGUGAGCUGUGAGUGUUGGAGAGAGAUGUAUACAGCAGGUCAGGAUCUAUAUAUACAUUAUAUAAUAGCACAUCAUUGCCUGGAAAACUAUCAACAAACACAUUAUAAAACAUACAAGCACAAUAAACAUGGGGGGUACAUAGAGUGUGAGUGAGAGUGUGGGGGGUGAGUGUGUGAGAGGGGGAGAGAGCUAAAGGGAGACAUAUAGAGAGGGAGAGAGAGAAAAGUAGAAGGAGGAGGGUGUUCUCCAGUGGGGAGUGUAGGUUAGGAGAGUGAGACGUUUACACCUGUGACAUUAUUAUUUUUUUGAUUACAUUUUGUAGCACAAAUUGCAUAAAGUGAUAUAUUAAGCGUUUAAGCCAUUUUUUUAUUUUUUAUUUUUUAUUUUUUAUUUUUUUUUUAGAAGAGCCAGGGUGUAAUGGAGGGUUCCCAAAAUAGCUGCCUUGGCUUGUAGGCCUUCUAAUGUGUCUAACACAGAUUUUAUCAAACAAAUAAGUUUCUUAAAAUAAGAAAGCCAGUUGUGAUAUAAUGUCACCUUCUUUGUUUUCUGUAUAUUGACUUAUUCUGUUCUGCUAAAUAGCUUUAUUAUUAUUUUUGUUAUUAUUAUCAUUGUGGUUGUUGCUCGUAAUACAAGAAAACAAGAAAGAAGAUAAUAAUAAUGACCACUGUGACAAUUUCUGAAAUUAUUUUAUCGUUAUGUGAAUGAUAACUUUUUCAUGUGGUUAAUAAAGCUAAGGUCAAAUUAGAUAAAUUUGAAUAUUUAAGAUCAGAAGCAUGGAAUAUAAUAUAAAAAAAUCUUAUUAUGACAGAACAUAAUCUUAAGAUCUUAAUGCAUUCAGUUGACUGCAGAAAAAAAUCAAAACAGAUUUCUGUUUCUUUCAGACAAAGUUUGUAAAGGUACUUUCCUUUAUCUGAACUUUGGCAAAGAACAAAGCGGCAUAACUUCAAGAACCGUUUCCACCUUUUAAACAUGUCAAACAUUCUUCUUUUUUGAUGGGCGCUGGAUGUUAAGACGUUCAUAAACACAAACAGAUGCUUGUUAGCAGUUUGUGUUUUCUGACAUACGUGUGCUUUUACGAUGAACGUAAGGAUCAUGGUUGAAACACGCUAAUCAGGCUGCAUGUGAAAAAUUUGGCAUUUGAAAGUCUUUGUGUGUGUGUGUGUGUGUGUGUGUGUGUGUGUGUGUGUGUGUGUGUGUGUGUGUGUGUGUUUUGUCCACUUACAUUUUGUUUGCUUGUCUGUAGAAUGAGACUGUUGGUUUACUCAGAGCGUUUGCCUGUGCAGAUGUUUACUUGUAUCCGUGUACCGCUCAGCAGCCCCUCUUUGUUUUUGCUUUUUUACCAGACAGUAUUCCCAUGUUUCACCGCGGAAAGAAGGAACUUCCUUUAAAAAAAAGACUAACUUCAGAAACAACAAACUCUGCUAAAAUCUCAAUCUCUUAAAACAGCCAUUUCCCAUUAAUCACUAAAACAAUAAUGUGCAGGAACAAAACAAAUGGGUCAAUAUAUAAUUGUGGGACUUUUUGAAUCAUAGUUGACAUUUUUGCUGUUGUCAGGCCUAUAAAUCAACAUGGCUGCCGGAGAAAUAAGCUGUUAAUGUGAUGAAAGCAUAAUCUGAUGCUUUUCUGCACAUCAUUUCUUAUCCUAAAAGGUCAUCUUCAGCAAAAGAAAUGCAAAACCGAUGUUCUGAGAACUGAUGCUGUGCUAUGAUGGCAAUGAACAGCUUCCAACGAAAAAGGGAAGAAGUGAAAAUUUAAAACACAAAAAGACUCUUUGAGAACUCCGCUUGAGGUAAAUGGGCCAGAAUGCAGAUCAGCAUCAGGUUUUAAUGUGGUUUGAGUUGAAGUGGCAGCCGUUAGUUUCACUCUUGGCUAACGUCGUGAGCUUCAGUGGAGCGGUGAAAGCUCAGGCAGACCUACCAUGUGUCCAUAAACACAUCCAUAUGUCAGAUCUGUUGUGUCCUCCUUACACCACCUCGGCAUACGGCACUUCUGUGGUCACGGUGUUGUCAUCGAGCUUUGUGCUCUCGCUGUGCACUCACAGAAGGGAGUAACCGCACAUAUUCCUAAACUUAUUACCCCGCUGUCUUAUUUCUGUUUCCCGGAAUAAAGUCAGGAGAAAGUCUCUUAAUCUGUCUUUGAGGUGACACCAUAAAUAUUUAUCACUACUACCGCCACAAUUAUUAUUAGCAUUAUUAUUAUCGGCUACUGUGGGAAAAAAAAGAGACACUGGAGGUGGUUUGAGUCGGAAGGCAGAAUCUGUCUUGCUCUUUAUUAUUAACCGUUGUAAUAAUAAUAAUAAUAAUAAUAAUAAUAAUAAUAAUAAUUGUUACAACUCGGCUCUGAAGCUGCAACAAAACAGGAAGACAACAACAGGGUGGUGACUAAAAGAAAGGUUUUACUACAGUUUUUCUCAAUUGAUAAGACACUAAAUUCCAUUCACUGCACACAGCCACCAACUGACUGCACACAUUUCUCAAAAACAGGACACUGCUGUCCAGACUUUGGACACUAUUCUUGGUUUGCACACAGUUUCCAAAACUCUUGCACUCGUUUUGCAAAAGACUGAACACGCUUUUUGCUCAUUUGAACACACUUUUUCACUCAUAGCACACAUUUUUCAAAAAGUGAACACUAGGAAGCAGAACUGGGACACUGUUCCAACACUGCUGUCACAAUUAAGACACAACAGAUCAAAACUGAAAACACUUUUGCCAAUGAAGUGUACACUAUAAAACCUGCUGGGAAGCAGAAUUAGCUGUUCAGAAUGGAUGUCAGAGGAGCAAGAGGUUAUGUUGGAAGAAGAGGACGUGGACGACCCAGACCAUGGCCAGAACCAGAACCAGAACCAGAACCUGGACUUGCCCAUGCACCUGGUCCUGGACCACUUUACAUGAGAGUUUUUCAGUUGGAUUCUGAUGAUACACAUGAAUAAAUCUAUGUGGAUGAGGCUGGUUUCAACCUGGCCAAGAGGAGGAGAAGAGGGAGAAACAUCAUUGGACAAUGGGCUAUAGUGAACAUCACAGGUCAGCGUGGGGCAACGUAACCCUCUGUGCUGCAAGAAGCAAUCAUGGAGUAAUUGACUGUCAUGCAGUUCUGGGCCCAUAGAACACCCAGCAUUUGCUGACUUUCCUAGAUGGACUUAGAGGGUCUACUGACAUGGGUGCAGCAGGGCGUUUGGCAAGAAGACACAGUUUUGUUGUUGUCUGGGACAAUGUUAGUUUUCAUAGAGGACUAUUGAUUCGGUAACAGUUCAAUAUGAACCCUCAAGUUAUUGUGGUUUUUCUGCCACCAUAUUCUCCCUUUCUGAAUCCUAUAGAGGAAUUCUUCUCUACAUGGAGGUGGAAGGUAUAUGAGCGGCAGCCAUACAUUCAGGAAAAUCUCUUGCAAUCACUGGUCUUGUCAUGUGGUGAUGUUUCUGCUGAUGCAUGUCAGGGAUGGAUCAGACACACUAGGUCCUUCUUUCCAGAGAAAACAUAGCUUGUGAUGUUGAUGAGGUCCUGUGGCCUGACCAGGCUGAAAGAACUGAUGCAGACGUGGUGUAAAUAUUUACAUACUGUGUACAAUACAGUGCUUUAUUUUUAUAAUGCACAGUCAGGCACUGCAAUGGCCCCGUCUGAUUUAUUUAUAGCAUGCAUUUGUGUUUAAGUUGUCAUUUUUGAGGCCUGUAUCAUUUUUUUUUACACUUCAUGUGAAAACAGUGAGAGAAGAGUGUUUUGUAUUUAGCAGUGCAGUGUCCUACUUUUGCUUCGUGUGUCUUAAUUUUGAAAACAAAGUUCAAGUUUUGACAGUAAAGUGUGCUUUUGACACAAGUGUCCAGUGCUUUGUGAACUGUGUUCAAAUAAAAAAAAAACAGUGUGCAGUGUGUUGGGAAAUGUGUGCUAUUUUUCAGGAACGAUGUCUUAUCAAUUGAGGAAAACUGUCAUAACAUAAAAAAAAGCCAGGGGAUGGAAAAAGUAUGCACAAUAAUUUUCUAAAUUUAUCUACAAAGAGCACGGACUGUAGUAAUGUCUGGUGCCUUUUUCAGUUUCAUAGAGUUGUUUUUCCAGUGCGGAUUAAGUCACUUUUUAAGAUUGUAAAUCAAACUGUGCAACAUUACAGGUUAUUAUAUUAAACUGAAGCCACUCAGAGUGGACAUUUUUACUUAAACUGUUUAGUGGAUAGUGUAUUGUAUGAAUAAUGGUAGUAUAUCAUGCAGAGACAGACCCCAUCCAUAAAUGUAGCUAUAUUAUCCUCAACCAUUACCAGCUUCUUAAUAUCACAUAAUGUUAAUAAAUUUGAAUAAAAUGCAGACUUUGCUUAUCUCAUGUGAAUCCGCCUAUUGAAAGACAGAUAUGUGUGCUGUUUUGCAGUCUACAUACCAAGAUUUAAACUGUGGUAAUAUAAGCUUUACUGGCUGUUAAUUGUGCUCAUUUCCAUUAUAUUUGGAUGUUUUUCUGCAUUUGGAGUUUUCUUCUGUCUUAAAGUUUAUGCAUUUGCGCCUGGUUUGCAGUGAAAUCUGGAAUAAAUCUUUUCUCAUUUUGGAGUAAAUAAACACAUAUUCAAAUAACAGUAGCAUGUAUUUACAGAAUUAGUAUCUCAGACUUGGGGCUGCACGGUGGCUCGGUGGAUAGCACUGUUGCCUUGCAGCUAGAAGAUUUAAUGCAGUUUGCUAAACUGUUUAUGUCUGUUACAUGCUCUUACAAUAAAGGCUCGCACCUCUUUUAAGGAGCUGGCUAAAGAAUUAAAAAUGUUAUCCAACAACACAUUUAAUCACAUGUAUAAAUAAAUAUUUCAAUUUACAAUAUAAGUCAUCUUGGGGCACGUAUAAAGGGUAAGACCUCACAAUAUAUUAUUGUAUAGGGAAACCGUACUGUAGUUCAUUUAGCCCCAUCUGGUGAAUAUUUUGCUUGGUACUGAAAACUUUUGAUAACUGUUAACUGGACAGCAACGACAUUCUGUUCAAACAGUCGUGUCUAAAUCAAGAAGCACUGUCAACCCAUGACUGUUGAUGUUCAUGGUGGAAAUUAACAAAUCUAAGAGAAAUGAAUAGAUGCAAUAAGAUGAAAAAAAAAAACUCAAACAUUAUGCCUGCAACAAAUUAGCAUAUUAGCAUUUCACUUAGCAUUAUCUCUAUCAGCACUGCUAGAGUAGUGGUAUCAUUCAAGAUUCACAUUCAUUUUGAACUGCCUCGGGGGACAAAUGAAGUUUUUUGAAUAUAAUUACAAGCAUGCUAAGGUUAGCUUCCAGCUCAAAGUACUAUUGCGCCAAACCACAGCAUCAUAGAGCCAUUAGCUUGGCUGCAAGAGUCUUGUUUUCCUGCAUAUUUUCAUAAAAUGAUGACUGCGAUCAUGUUCACUUUAUGCCAGAUGUCUUUAUAUAAGUGCUCGCUUGAGCAAAAAAAAUGUCUUUGGUCAAAAACUGCAAUCAAUAAAGCAAAACAUCAGCUGCCAGGAAGAGUUUAUCUGGUCAAAAAGACAGCUGGAGUAAAAACAUCUGUUUCUCUGUUGUGCUGUCACAAACGGUGAUUAAAAUGUCAGGCCGGCAGCAAAGAUGCCUCAGCGAGGCAAGAGAGAAUGAAGUGGCCUUGCAGCGGGAGGAGAUGGCCCAGAAUACUGCCUUCAACCAGUCAUUCCUGGGUGUGCUGGGGCAGCUGGGGCAGGCAGUGCUGGGUGUGGUGGGGCAGGCAGUGCUGGGGCAGCUGGGGUAGCUGGGUAGGCAGUGGGCAGCCGGCGAGUGUGAGCGAGUCCACCUCCCAUAGACUUGAGAUUUACAAGUGCUGGUCAUAUAAUUAGAAUAUCAUGAAAAAGCUCGUCUUUUGGACAACUGUCAGGUCAGCAGUCUUCCCCAUGAUUGUGUAGCCUACAGAACUAGACUGAAAGACCAUUUAAAGGCCUUUGCAGGUGUUUUGAGUCAAUUAGCUGAUUAGAGGCGUCUUUAAUAUUGAACCUUUCCACAAUAUUCUAAUUUUCUGAGAUACCAAAUUUGGGAUUUUUGUUAGUAUUCAGGUAUAAUCAUCAAAGAGAAAUAAACAUUUGAAAUAUAUGUCUCUGUGUAAUGAAUGAGUAUAAUAUACAAGUUUCACUUUUUGAAUGGAAUUACUGAAAUAAUAAACUUUUUCAUGAUAUUCUAAUUAUAUGACCAGCACCUGUAGUUGUAUAGUUUUACUUUUAGCCCUCCCCUGUAGGACAGGCCCACCACAGUUUGUACUUUGCACAUUGUAAAUAGUUUUGAUUUUGCUGCUGACUAAUGAACUAUUUUGUGACUUA
Amphiprion ocellaris (clown anemonefish) is the source of this 9366-nucleotide long non-coding RNA. RefSeq lists it as uncharacterized. The record is from RefSeq and is a predicted model, not a curated record. The transcript has 2 exons. Lineage: Eukaryota; Metazoa; Chordata; Actinopteri; Pomacentridae.